AGGCUCAUAGUUCAGUGGAUAGAACGCAACGCUUCGGACGUUGAAACGAGGGUUCAAUUCCUUCUGAGCCUA
This 72-nucleotide transfer RNA is filed under the name Candidatus Pacearchaeota archaeon. Its description in RNAcentral is "tRNA-Arg". It matches the Rfam family "tRNA". Rfam says of the family: Transfer RNA (tRNA) molecules are approximately 80 nucleotides in length. Their secondary structure includes four short double-helical elements and three loops (D, anti-codon, and T loops). Further hydrogen bonds mediate the characteristic L-shaped molecular structure. tRNAs have two regions of fundamental functional importance: the anti-codon, which is responsible for specific mRNA codon recognition, and the 3' end, to which the tRNAs corresponding amino acid is attached (by aminoacyl-tRNA synthetases). tRNAs cope with the degeneracy of the genetic code in two manners: having more than one tRNA (with a specific anti-codon) for a particular amino acid; and 'wobble' base-pairing, i.e. permitting non-standard base-pairing at the 3rd anti-codon position. Lineage: Archaea; Nanobdellati. The record is from RNAcentral.